ACCUUGAUACCAUUAUACCUGAGGUAUAAUUCAGCUUUUCAAGCUCUUUCUUGUAAAUUUAAUGAUAUGGUCGCCUGAGGGAUGGAUAAGAAGGGAUCCCAAUUAUGUCAUUACUUUAACCAUUUAGUUUGAGGCUGCUGUUCAUGUUUAAUUUAUUCAUAUUCUGUUUCAAGAUUUUUGGAAUUUGCUUUAGAUGCCCAUAAAAAUUCUUAGAAGAAAAGGAAUCGCAUGUGGUAUAAAUUCUUGAAAUAUAUUAAUUGAAGAAGGUUAACGAGAUGAGAUAGCUUUUCCUCUUCCUUUGGAUCCACAUUUUAUCGGAUUUAAUUGUGUGGUUAAUGGAAAACUUGUUUCAUUCAAGGAGUUAACAUGAGCUUCCUUUGAUGUUUCUGUCUUUGUGUGGAUUGAGGGAAAUGGAGAGAAAA
Molecule: unclassified non-coding RNA, 422 nt
Filed under: Hevea brasiliensis (rubber tree)
Lineage: Eukaryota; Viridiplantae; Streptophyta; Magnoliopsida; Malpighiales; Euphorbiaceae
Source: RNAcentral